Molecule: unclassified non-coding RNA, 346 nt
Filed under: soil metagenome
Description: partial contains 5.8S ribosomal RNA, internal transcribed spacer 2, and large subunit ribosomal RNA
Rfam family: 5.8S ribosomal RNA (bases 3-121)
Source: RNAcentral
GAAUGAAGAACGUAGUGAAAUGCGAUAAGUAAUGUGAAUUGCAGAAUUCCGUGAGUCAUCGAAUCUUUGAACGCACAUUGCGCCCACUGGUAUUCCGGUGGGCAUGCCUGUUCGAGCGUCAUUAUCCUCCCUCAAACCCCGGGUUUGGUGUUGGACCUAAGUUGUGCGAACAACUGGUCCAAAAGACAAUGACGGCGUCCGUGGGACCCUCGGUGCAACGAGCUUUUCGGAGCACGCAUCGAGUUGCAAGGACCCUCCGGGCCGGUCUCCUCUAUCUAUUUUACUAGGUUGACCUCGGAUCAGGUAGGAAUACCCGCUGAACUUAAGCAUAUCAAUAAGCGGAGGA